This 904-nucleotide long non-coding RNA is filed under the name Panax ginseng (ginseng). RNAcentral's name for it is "long non-coding RNA (PGIN_LNC017178)". Lineage: Eukaryota; Viridiplantae; Streptophyta; Magnoliopsida; Apiales; Araliaceae. The record is from RNAcentral.
AAGAAUUUGAAAGGCUUAUAAGCAGGGUAUGCCCUAUACUCAUCAUUCAUAUGGAUUAUGCUCGUUUUGUGUUGGUUGGAGAUGAAUUUAGUAAUUACGUGUCAGAUAAGAGCCAACAUCACUCCAGUAAUAAAGCCAUCUUCUCUACUAAUAUAUGUGAAAUGUCCAUGGUCCAUGGAUGUUAGCUAACUUCUGGAAAUCCUGGGAUCUCAUAUAGCCAAAGCAUUAUACAAGUAUAGUUAAUUUAAAUUAAUGACGAGUUAUCUUAGUACUAAAUUGAAGUAUUCCUGUCAGCACAUAAGAAACUUCUGUCGUCAUCUUCUUAUAGUUUAUGCUGUCACUAUAGUUGUAGUUUAUUUCAUAAAGAAACUUCUUCUUACUUAUGCCGUGGGAUUAUUUGAAGAACAACUUUGUGUUUUUGUGCAGGCUGAUAGAGAAGCAAGAGCCAGAAGGAGCAACUACACGGUCUUUGAUGAUGAUUAUGGAUAUUGAGCUUUGUUUCUUCGUAUAAUUGGUUCUCAAGUUUGCUGUCCUUGUUAUCUGAAAUUAAUAUCUAUUAUGUUUAAUUAUGGAGUUGAGGUAAAUGGAUAAUAUGUCAAAUAUUACGACAGUUCUUGCCCAUUUUUUCUUUAGUAUUUAUGCUUGUUGAAAUGUGACUACAUUUUUCCACUAGAAUUCCACCUAGCUUGUCGUCAUCCCUUUUAUGUUUGAGUCUUGUUAGUUAUGUAUGAUCAUAUGCCUUCUCCAAUGCUUCCCAGCCCGAUAGCUUUUGUUAUUGAUUCAUCUGGGAGUUUGCUUCUCUUCCCCCCUUGACUUUGGACAGGGAGGUAAUUAAGUAUCAAAGGAUGUUUUAGACUUGUAAAACUAUGCAGAUUUUCUAUCAAGAUUCCAGGGUCUCAAACCC